Molecule: long non-coding RNA, 598 nt
Filed under: Equus asinus (donkey)
Lineage: Eukaryota; Metazoa; Chordata; Mammalia; Perissodactyla; Equidae
Description: lncRNA (ENSEASG00005038059.1)
Source: RNAcentral
CUUGGAAUGAAUUAUGACUGUUCUUCCUUCAUUUAAAAAAAGUCCUCCCCAAAGAGAGAGAGAGGUGCAUUUCAGUUUUCCAUAAUCUCUAUUAUGAUUUCAGAACUAACCUACUACGCCAGUUGAUUCAGUCAGCAAUUGAGCUAACCAUGAGGGAGAAAAUAGGCCUUAAUGUUUUUUCUUUUGGAAAACCCAGAUUGCCCUGUUGAAAAAUGCUUUCCCUCCCACCCACCUGUCUGUCAUUAAUCAUGGGACGAGCUGGAUAAACCUGAUUGUUCCUCCAGAGACGACUCUGUCAUGAAAGAUUCCAUUUCUUCUUGACCUGAGAGGAAUCCCGUUUUCUUAGUGAUGAGCCGUGCCGGCAGAAUGCCAAGGGGAGCUCCUCCGCAGGUUUCAGAACAAGCAGUAGAGGGGCAGAGGUCAAAAUUUUGUGUCUGCUCUGCUAGCACCUCACUUCCCAUGGAGGCAUGGCACACAAAAAGGAGGACACGUUGCGUAUUUCAGAGCAAGUAAAAUGCUGUGUGGAGAUUGAUUUAUAUAACUUUUUUGCUAGAUUAGUCAAGAAGCUGGAUUAAUAUUUUAAUCAUAUUCUCUUGAG